This 540-nucleotide ribosomal RNA is filed under the name uncultured bacterium. Its description in RNAcentral is "partial 16S ribosomal RNA". It matches the Rfam family "Bacterial small subunit ribosomal RNA", at positions 355 to 886 of the family's 1533-position model. The record is from RNAcentral.
UAGGGAAUCUUCCACAAUGGACGCAAGUCUGAUGGAGCAACGCCGCGUGAGUGAAGAAGGUCUUCGGAUCGUAAAGCUCUGUUGUUGGUGAAGAAGGAUAGAGGCAGUAACUGGUCUUUAUUUGACGGUAAUCAACCAGAAAGUCACGGCUAACUACGUGCCAGCAGCCGCGGUAAUACGUAGGUGGCAAGCGUUGUCCGGAUUUAUUGGGCGUAAAGCGAGCGCAGGCGGAAUGAUAAGUCUGAUGUGAAAGCCCACGGCUCAACCGUGGAACUGCAUCGGAAACUGUCAUUCUUGAGUGCAGAAGAGGAGAGUGGAACUCCAUGUGUAGCGGUGGAAUGCGUAGAUAUAUGGAAGAACACCAGUGGCGAAGGCGGCUCUCUGGUCUGCAACUGACGCUGAGGCUCGAAAGCAUGGGUAGCGAACAGGAUUAGAUACCCUGGUAGUCCAUGCCGUAAACGAUGAGCGCUAGGUGUUGGGGACUUUCCGGUCCUCAGUGCCGCAGCAAACGCAUUAAGCGCUCCGCCUGGGGAGUACGGC